GAUGAACGCUGGCGGCGUGCCUAAUACAUGCAAGUCGAGCGAAGCGGGGACGGGUGAGUAACACGUGGAUAACCUCCUAUAAGACUGGGAUAACUUCGGGAAACCGGAGCGAAAUCGGAUAUUUAUAGAUGGAUCCGCCCUGCAUUAGCUGGUUGGUAAGGUAACGGCGUACCAAGGCAACGACGCAUAGCCGACCUGAGAGGGUGUUCGGCCACACUGGAACGGAGACACGGCCCAGACUCCUACGGGAGGCAGCAGUAGGGAAUCUUCCGCAAUGGGCGAAAGCCUGACGGAGCAACGCCGCGUGAGUGAUGAAGGUCUUCGGAUCGUAAAACUCUGUUAUUAGAGAAGCGGUACCUAAUCAGAAAGCCACGGCUAACUACGUGCCAGCCGCCGCGGUAAUAC
This 405-nucleotide ribosomal RNA is filed under the name uncultured bacterium. RNAcentral's name for it is "partial 16S ribosomal RNA". It matches the Rfam family "Bacterial small subunit ribosomal RNA", at positions 28 to 526 of the family's 1533-position model. The record is from RNAcentral.